This 1506-nucleotide ribosomal RNA is filed under the name metagenome. Its description in RNAcentral is "bacterial SSU rRNA". It matches the Rfam family "Bacterial small subunit ribosomal RNA". The record is from RNAcentral.
AGAGUUUGAUCAUGGCUCAGGACGAACGCUGGCGGCGUGCCUAAUACAUGCAAGUAGAACGCUGAAGAGAGGAGCUUGCUCUUCUUGGAUGAGUUGCGAACGGGUGAGUAACGCGUAGGUAACCUGCCUUGUAGCGGGGGAUAACUAUUGGAAACGAUAGCUAAUACCGCAUAACAAUGGAUGACACAUGUCAUUUAUUUGAAAGGGGCAAUUGCUCCACUACAAGAUGGACCUGCGUUGUAUUAGCUAGUAGGUGAGGUAAUGGCUCACCUAGGCGACGAUACAUAGCCGACCUGAGAGGGUGAUCGGCCACACUGGGACUGAGACACGGCCCAGACUCCUACGGGAGGCAGCAGUAGGGAAUCUUCGGCAAUGGGGGCAACCCUGACCGAGCAACGCCGCGUGAGUGAAGAAGGUUUUCGGAUCGUAAAGCUCUGUUGUAAGUCAAGAACGGGUGUGAGAGUGGAAAGUUCACACUGUGACGGUAGCUUACCAGAAAGGGACGGCUAACUACGUGCCAGCAGCCGCGGUAAUACGUAGGUCCCGAGCGUUGUCCGGAUUUAUUGGGCGUAAAGCGAGCGCAGGCGGUUUGAUAAGUCUGAAGUUAAAGGCUGUGGCUCAACCAUAGUUCGCUUUGGAAACUGUCAAACUUGAGUGCAGAAGGGGAGAGUGGAAUUCCAUGUGUAGCGGUGAAAUGCGUAGAUAUAUGGAGGAACACCGGUGGCGAAAGCGGCUCUCUGGUCUGUAACUGACGCUGAGGCUCGAAAGCGUGGGGAGCGAACAGGAUUAGAUACCCUGGUAGUCCACGCCGUAAACGAUGAGUGCUAGGUGUUGGAUCCUUUCCGGGAUUCAGUGCCGCAGCUAACGCAUUAAGCACUCCGCCUGGGGAGUACGACCGCAAGGUUGAAACUCAAAGGAAUUGACGGGGGCCCGCACAAGCGGUGGAGCAUGUGGUUUAAUUCGAAGCAACGCGAAGAACCUUACCAGGUCUUGACAUCCCGAUGCUAUUUCUAGAGAUAGAAAGUUACUUCGGUACAUCGGUGACAGGUGGUGCAUGGUUGUCGUCAGCUCGUGUCGUGAGAUGUUGGGUUAAGUCCCGCAACGAGCGCAACCCCUAUUGUUAGUUGCCAUCAUUCAGUUGGGCACUCUAGCGAGACUGCCGGUAAUAAACCGGAGGAAGGUGGGGAUGACGUCAAAUCAUCAUGCCCCUUAUGACCUGGGCUACACACGUGCUACAAUGGUUGGUACAACGGGUUGCGAGUCGGUGACGGCGAGCUAAUCUCUUAAAGCCAAUCUCAGUUCGGAUUGUAGGCUGCAACUCGCCUACAUGAAGUCGGAAUCGCUAGUAAUCGCGGAUCAGCACGCCGCGGUGAAUACGUUCCCGGGCCUUGUACACACCGCCCGUCACACCACGAGAGUUUGUAACACCCGAAGUCGGUGAGGUAACCUUUUGGAGCCAGCCGCCUAAGGUGGGACAGAUGAUUGGGGUGAAGUCGUAACAAGGUA